ACGCUGGCGGCACGCCUAACACAUGCAAGUCGAACGAAGUAGCAAUACUUAGUGGCAGACGGGUGAGUAACAUGUAGGUAUCUACCCUUUGGCCUGGAAUAACACGAGGAAACUUGUGCUAAUACCGGAUAAGUCUUUACGGAGAAAGCUUUAUGCACCAUUGGAUGAGCCUGCACUUGAUUAGUUUGUUGGUGGGGUAAUGGCCUACCAAGACUGUGAUCAAUAGCUGAUUUGAGAGGAUGAUCAGCCACAUUGGGACUGAGACACGGCCCAAACUCCUACGGGAGGCAGCAGUGGGGAAUCUUGCACAAUGGAGGAAACUCUGAUGCAGCGAUGCCGCGUGAGUGAAGAAGGCCCUUGGGUUGUAAAGCUCUUUCGUCGGGGAAGAAAAUGACUGUACCCGAAUAAGAAGGUCCGGCUAACUUCGUGCCAGCAGCCGCGGUAAUACGAAGGGACCUAGCGUAGUUCGGAAUUACUGGGCUUAAAGAGUUCGUAGGUGGUUGAAAAAGUUAGUGGUGAAAUCCCAGAGCUUAACUCUGGAACUGCCAUUAAAACUUUUCAGCUAGAGUAUGAUAGAGGAAAGCAGAAUUUCUAGUGUAGAGGUGAAAUUCGUAGAUAUUAGAAAGAAUACCAAUUGCGAAGGCAGCUUUCUGGAUCAUUACUGACACUGAGGAACGAAAGCAUGGGUAGCGAAGAGGAUUAGAUACCCUCGUAGUCCAUGCCGUAAACGAUGUGUGUUAGACGUUGGAAAUUUAUUUUCAGUGUCGCAGCGAAAGCGAUAAACACACCGCCUGGGGAGUACG
This 803-nucleotide ribosomal RNA is filed under the name uncultured Pelagibacteraceae bacterium. Its description in RNAcentral is "bacterial SSU rRNA". It matches the Rfam family "Bacterial small subunit ribosomal RNA", at positions 33 to 884 of the family's 1533-position model. The record is from RNAcentral. Lineage: Bacteria; Pseudomonadati; Pseudomonadota; Alphaproteobacteria; Candidatus Pelagibacterales; Candidatus Pelagibacteraceae.